RNAcentral lists this ribosomal RNA (464 nucleotides) under uncultured bacterium. RNAcentral describes it as "partial 16S ribosomal RNA". It matches the Rfam family "Bacterial small subunit ribosomal RNA", at positions 28 to 507 of the family's 1533-position model. The record is from RNAcentral.
GACGAACGCUGGCGGCGUGCUUAACACAUGCAAGUCGAACGGUAAGGCCCCAGCUUGCUGGGGUACACGAGUGGCGAACGGGUGAGUAACACGUGGGUGACCUGCCCCGCACUUCGGGAUAAGCCUGGGAAACUGGGUCUAAUACCGGAUAGGACCGCACCGUGAGGGUGUGGUGGAAAGUUUUUCGGUGUGGGAUGGGCCCGCGGCCUAUCAGCUUGUUGGUGGGGUAAUGGCCUACCAAGGCGGCGACGGGUAGCCGGCCUGAGAGGGUGGACGGCCACAGUGGGACUGAGACACGGCCCAGACUCCUACGGGAGGCAGCAGUGGGGAAUAGUGCACAAUGGGCGGAAGCCUGAUGCAGCGACGCCGCGUGGGGGAUGACGGCCGUCGGGUUGUAAACUCCUUUCACCAUCGACGAAGGUUUUCUGACGGUAGAUGGAGAAGAAGCACCGGCUAACUACGUG